GACGUAGGGCGCGAGCGUUGUCCGGAUUUAUUGGGCGUAAAGAGCUCGUAGGCGGCUUGUCGCGUCGACCGUGAAAACUCGCAGCUCAACUGCGAGCCUGCGGUCGAUACGGGCAGGCUAGAGUUCGGUAGGGGAGACUGGAAUUCCUGGUGUAGCGGUGAAAUGCGCAGAUAUCAGGAGGAACACCGAUGGCGAAGGCAGGUCUCUGGGCCGAUACUGACGCUGAGGAGCGAAAGCGUGGGGAGCGAACAGG
Molecule: ribosomal RNA, 253 nt
Filed under: uncultured bacterium
Lineage: Bacteria
Also listed under: 1 other name
Description: partial 16S ribosomal RNA
Rfam family: Bacterial small subunit ribosomal RNA
Source: RNAcentral